AUGACCGCCAUCCGCUCCCUCGUGAGCUCCUCUUCCUCGUCAAGGGAGGGCAACGCCAUCUUGGCCGCGAAUGUCUCCUCUGCAGGCGAUUGCUCCCCCAUCAUGAGCGUCAUCCGCGCCCUUAUUGGUGCCUCUUCAUUGUCUGUGCUGGGGUCCUUCUCAAUCUACCAAGGGAGUGCAUAUGCAUCAAGGGAACUUGUACCAGUCUAUCAGGGGAGUGCUUACGGCUUCCGAGAGCUUGUACCUGCUUCAUACCGUAGCUUUCACCCUUGCAAGGUUCUUCCUGCGUCUCUGACAUCAAACAGGAAUUCUUCCCUCAUGCUUGUAAACAUUCUACUCGGUGCUUGGUUUGGAGGAUAUGUCUUGGCUUCAACCGAUGGUCAACCUGGUUCUAUCAUCUUGGAAAAUCUCAAGGAAAAGCUUAAACUCAUCGAAGCAGAGAUUACGGAUCUUGAAAGAAUGAUUGAAGAGUCCGAAGAUUCUGAGCUGGUUACCUUGUUAAAAGAGAAGAUCGAUCGACUCAAAGAUCAGAAAGAGAACCUUGAGACUCUUAUAGAGGAUAUUCUUCAAGUCGAGGAACAGCUGCGCAAGAUUCGUGAGGAAGCAACCUCCGACAAAGAAGAAGCAAAGCGUAAGUUAGCAAUCAUUGGAAGAAAAAUGAUGGAAAAAGAGAGCUCCCAAGAAACAAGCCAUGGCGUAAACUCUUAG
This 708-nucleotide ribosomal RNA is filed under the name Triticum aestivum (bread wheat). RNAcentral describes it as "partial small subunit ribosomal RNA". The record is from RNAcentral. Lineage: Eukaryota; Viridiplantae; Streptophyta; Magnoliopsida; Poales; Poaceae.